UAAGGAAUAUUGCUCAAUGGGAGAAAUCCUGAAGCAGCAACGCCGCGUGGAGGAUGAAGGGUCUAUGACUUGUAAACUCCUGUAAAGAAGGAAAAAAUUCCCAUUUGAUGGGAGAUGAUGGUACUUCUGGAGUAAGCCCCGGCUAACUACGCGCCAGCAGCCGCGGUAAUACGUAGGGGGCAAGCGUUGUCCGGAUUUACUGGGUGUAAAGGGUGCUCAGGCGGAUUUGUAAGUCAGAGGUGAAAUCUUACAGCUUAACUGUGAAACUGCCUUUGAUACUGCAAGCCUAGAGUAUGGAAGAGAGUGAUGGAAUAUCUGGUGUAGCAGUGAAAUGCGUAGAUAUCAGAUAGAACACCAAUGGCGAAGGCAGUCACUUGGUCCAUUACUGACGCUAAAGCACGAAAGCGUGGGUAGCAAACA
RNAcentral lists this ribosomal RNA (420 nucleotides) under uncultured bacterium. RNAcentral's name for it is "bacterial SSU rRNA". It matches the Rfam family "Bacterial small subunit ribosomal RNA", at positions 355 to 774 of the family's 1533-position model. The record is from RNAcentral.